AGACAAGAAAACAACCAGGGAAGGCACACAGCCCUGUGGGGAGGCGUUGGGGCGUGAGGUUGAGAGAGACAGAGUGGCCUGGCCUGGCCUGCCCUGUGAGCUGGGUGAGUUGGCACUGAUUCUGGAAGAUGGACGUGAAUGGGCGUGGUCACUUGUCGCUAGACUCUGGGAAACGCUGCUGCUGUUUGACAUCGCACAGUCAGAAGGGAUCGUCUCAGCCAGCCUGCAGCAUCUGUCACUUUGACCAUGAGACGCUGCCUCGAUUUCCAAUCCAGGUGCAAAGCUUCAGAUAGGAGUUUGGGAAGCACAGCAAUCCCCAUCUCUUAUUUUUUUCAACUUUCAUUCCAAGAAAAUAGGACCUUGAGUCCAAUUCCCAGAGCUGAGACUUGAGGUCCAACUCUGCCUUCACCUGCACCCGGCCCUGGAGGUCUGGGCCCCUUUAUUCCA
This 447-nucleotide long non-coding RNA is filed under the name Homo sapiens (human). RNAcentral's name for it is "non-protein coding lnc-FGF21-2:5". The record is from RNAcentral. Lineage: Eukaryota; Metazoa; Chordata; Mammalia; Primates; Hominidae.